CUCACAAUUUGGACGGUUUAUUUGAGUUGAUGGUGCCUGAGUGUCAACCCUGAAAGAAGAGGGCUAUACUUCCUACGCACUGUGCGCAUUUUAGAGAGGACCCGUCAAGAGGAACAAGAUCCCAGAUCCGAGAGUUCCAGACGAUGGGUAGGGUUAGGGUUUCGAUCUUCUCUGCGAUUCUCCUCGUCGUGCUGCUCCUGUCUUCGUCCUUCAUCUUUCUCGCCUCUUCCUCCCAUGAAAUCGGUCGCCAUCCAUUCGGCAGCUUCUCCAAGAGCGGUAACAAUCAGCUCCCGAAUUGCAGAGAGAUAGCGUCGAGAUCCGAAUGCUUGAGGAGUACCAAAUGCAGGUGGUGCCGUAGCGAAGCCAUUGACGACAUGUGUUUCUCCGCCUCCGAAGCUUGGAGACUACCCCAACAGGAAAUGUGAUGCUACAUAAAGAAAUCGGUGCCUCACCUUAGUCUCCUGCAUCGCUGCAAUUAGGACAACUCCUGAAGGUAUCAUCUGGACCAACAUGUAGCUCAAGCUUGUUAUCAUUGACAACUAGCAAAAUGAUGAAAGGGAGUGAAGAGAGCAAGGGUUUGUCUGAAGUAGAAAACAGUAAAACUGCGCCUGUGAUCUCAAUAUGUGACUGGUGAGCAUCUUUAGCGGUUGAUAGCUUUUCAGUCUCAAGGAGGCUCGAUUCCUUGAGAAUCAAAGAAGAACAAUAUUGUUUGGAUUGGGAGUGGGAGUGGAAUACAAUGGUAUUUCCUCCUGUA
This is a long non-coding RNA of Magnolia sinica, 754 nucleotides long. RefSeq lists it as uncharacterized. The transcript has 2 exons. The record is from RefSeq and is a predicted model, not a curated record. NCBI's taxonomy places the organism in Eukaryota, Viridiplantae, Streptophyta, Magnoliopsida, Magnoliales, Magnoliaceae.